This 253-nucleotide ribosomal RNA is filed under the name uncultured bacterium. Its description in RNAcentral is "partial 16S ribosomal RNA". It matches the Rfam family "Bacterial small subunit ribosomal RNA", at positions 524 to 776 of the family's 1533-position model. The record is from RNAcentral.
UACGGAGGAUCCAAGCGUUAUCCGGAAUCAUUGGGCUUAAAGGGUCCGUAGGCGGUUUAGUAAGUCAGUGGUGAAAGCCCAUCGCUCAACGGUGGAACGGCCAUUGAUACUGUUAAACUUGAAUUAUUAGGAAGUAACUAGAAUAUGUAGUGUAGCGGUGAAAUGCUUAGAGAUUACAUGGAAUACCAAUUGCGAAGGCAGGUUACUACUAAUGGAUUGACGCUGAUGGACGAAAGCGUGGGUAGCGAACAGG